CUAACAUGUAAACUCACUGAGCAGGGCCCUCAAUCCCUCUGUUACUGUGUCACUAUACCCCACUCCCUCUAACAUGUAAACUCACUGAGCAGGACCCUCAAUCCCUCUGUUACUGUGUCACUAUACCCCACUCCCUCUAACAUGUAAACUCACUGAGCAGGUCCUCAAUCCCUCUGUUACUGUCACUAUACCCCACUCCCUCUAACAUGUAAACUCACUGAGCAGGGCCCUCAAUCCCUCUGUUACUGUGUCACUAUACCCCACUCCCUCUAACAUGUAAACUCACUGAGAAGGGCCCUCAAUCCCUCUGUUACUGUGUCACUAUACCCCACUCCCUCUAACAUGUAAACUCACUGAGCAGGCCCUCAAUCCCUCUGUUACUGUGUCACUAUACCCCACUCCCUCUAGCAUGUAAACUCACUGAGCAGGGCCCUCAAUCCCUCUGUUACUGUGUCACUAUACCCCACUCCCUCUAACAUGUAAACUCACUGAGCAGGGCCCUCAAUCCCUCUGUUACUGUCACUAUACCCCACUCCCUCUAACAUGUAAACUCACUGAGCAGGCCCUCAAUCCCUCUGUUACUGUGUCACUAUACCCCACUCCCUCUAGCAUGUAAACUCACUGAGCAGGGUCUCAAUCCCUCUGUUACUGUGUCACUAUACCCCACUCCCUCUAACAUGUAAACUCACUGAGCAGGACCCUCAAUCCCUCUGUUACUGUGUCACUAUACCCCACUCCCUCUAACAUGUAAACUCACUGAGCAGGGCCCUCAAUCCCUCUGUUACUGUGUCACUAUACCCCACUCCC
Molecule: non-coding RNA, 807 nt
Organism: Pelobates cultripes (western spadefoot toad)
Lineage: Eukaryota; Metazoa; Chordata; Amphibia; Anura; Pelobatidae
Source: the annotation of a GenBank genome assembly